GAUUCCCAGCCUGAUGCAGUGGGUUACAGAUCCGAUGUGGCCGCAGCUGUGGUAGGUUGCAGCUGAGGCUGGGAUUUGACCCCUCGUUGGGGAACUCCAUAUGUUGCAGGUGCGGCAAAAAAAAAAAAAAAAAAAGGAAAAGGAAAAAGAGGAAACAGACCUUCAUUUUGAGAACAAAAAAUAGGACUUUUUUAUUCUGCUGAGAAAGAGGAAAGACGAAGUCCGGCACCAGGCUGUGCUGGAAGGAGAGAUUCCAGAAUGAGGGGCGGUGCCUAGGUUAUUAGCGCUCUGAGCGCGGAUCCUGCAGAGGUGGUCUCAGGAGCUGGGCUCUGUAUCUGCGGGUGAAGUACCCCAUGCUUUUUAAAAGUCUCAUCUGCCGGGGGAGAUGUAAAUGCAAAGUGCUAAUCCUUUGUCAUCAAUAACAGUCCCAUGACACUGCUUUCCAAGACAAGUGUUACUGAUUCAAUUUGGUUGGCUGUGUUUAGCUUCCUUAAACCUGCUGCAGUUUCAGUUGAGUAAAGCAUGAUUCACUUCCUGCCCCAAAGGGUAUUAACCAGCCCUCAUGGUUUGGUCUGGAAGAGGCCAAAGCCCUGGGGGAUGAAGAGAGUGACAACUUGGGAAGCAGGGGGUUGGCACCUGGGAUGAGAGUGGCAGUUUCUAACCUGACUUUGGAAGGCAUUGAAGCCUUCAAGGCAUCCAAAAGGUAGCUGGCUCCACUGUGACUUGUGUUUUCUUUUGAAUUUGUCAGCCUCCCUUUCCUUGUAGUGGAACCAGCAUACACACUGCCUUGAUUUUUUUUUUUUUUUUUUUUUGUCUUUUUGCCUUUUCUAGAGCCGCUCCUGCGGCAUAUGGAGGUUCCCAGGCUAGGGGUCUAAUCAGAGCUGUAGCUGCUGGCGUAGGCUGGUGGCUACAGCUCCGAUUUGACCCCUAGCCUGGGAACCUCCAUAUGCCGCGGGAGCGGCCCAAGAAAUAGCAACAACAAAAGACAAAAGACAAAAAAUAAAUAAAUAAAUAAAGUGGAUGCUGGUAAUCUUUAAAAAAAAAUAAAAAAAUAAAAAAAA
RNAcentral lists this long non-coding RNA (1061 nucleotides) under Sus scrofa (pig). RNAcentral describes it as "lncRNA (ENSSSCG00005031748.1)". The record is from RNAcentral. Lineage: Eukaryota; Metazoa; Chordata; Mammalia; Artiodactyla; Suidae.